UACGUAGGUGGCAAGCGUUGUCCGGAUUUACUGGGCGUAAAGGAUGCGUAGGCGGACAUUUAAGUCAGAUGUGAAAUACCCGAGCUUAACUUGGGUGCUGCAUUUGAAACUGGGUGUCUGGAGUGCAGGAGAGGUAAGUGGAAUUCCUAGUGUAGCGGUGAAAUGCGUAGAGAUUAGGAAGAACACCAGUGGCGAAGGCGACUUACUGGACUGUAACUGACGCUGAGGCAUGAAAGCGUGGGGAUCAAACAGG
Molecule: ribosomal RNA, 253 nt
Filed under: uncultured bacterium
Lineage: Bacteria
Description: partial 16S ribosomal RNA
Rfam family: Bacterial small subunit ribosomal RNA
Source: RNAcentral